RNA transcript from Triticum aestivum (bread wheat), 2678 nucleotides. RefSeq lists it as uncharacterized. NCBI's taxonomy places the organism in Eukaryota, Viridiplantae, Streptophyta, Magnoliopsida, Poales, Poaceae. The record is from RefSeq and is a predicted model, not a curated record. The transcript has 4 exons.
UCACCCAAAAGAAAAAGAAUUACAACCAUGGCCCGAGGGCCUCCACCCGACCUAUUCUGCCCCAGAUCGAACCCUUCCACCAAAUCGAACCCUCGCUCCUCCUCGACCGCCGCCGUCGCCGCCCCCACCCCUAUGCCGUUGGCCACACCCUCUCUCUUGGCUGAUCUGUGCAACCCCAUCGGGAUCUAUGGCGGCAGUGCUUGGAUCUCGGCGUCGCCUCCCUCCAGACGCAUCUGGUGUGCGAGAUCAAAGUCGCCUCCCUCCCUUCGACACCACCACCAGAACUGCUCGACACCGCCGGUCGCCUCCCUCUCUUCUACACGGCGACGAGCAUGGGUGGAUUCCCCUCAUGGCUUCCUCCCCGCGAACGGCGACGCGGUGCCUCCUCUCCACUAUGCACGUACAACACGCUCCUUAGAUCUGUCCUGGUGGAAACUCGAUGAGGUGCUAUUAGGGAAAGGAUUGGAGACUGGUUCUAGUAGUGGUUGGUUUGUUGGAGGAUUUUCUAGUGCUCAUGAUUUGCAAAUGGUUCAGCCAGGAUUAAACAUGUAAUAUCUUUUGCGGCAUUUUUGUUAGCCUAUGCCUCGCUCUUCUUAGACAACAAUACUAGCAGUUAAGUACUGGCGUCUAGCAACCUUGAAGCCCACAGUCGACCUGUAGGCCACAUCUCUCUCAGGUACAAUAAAAAGAUCGCAGUUAACUUGAUGGGUGUAUCAUUAUUGAUGCCUCCUAAUUUGUGUGAUGAGAAAAUGUGUAGAUUGUGUGUGUAAAUCGGAUAUGCCUUGGGUUAUCCUCCAUAAUAACUCGAGUUUGUAAUGUUGUUUCGCAAGAGUUGAUUUCUAUAUGUGUUGCAAAAUGUGUUGUUAGAGUAAGAGGAUUUAAGUUUCGUGUGCUAGCCACUAUGACCUAUGAAGAUGGAUUGGUAGUUUUUUGUUAACUAAACAAUAUGACAUCAGUCUUUAUGCCUUUUUAUGGGCAAGUGAUUCCUGCAAUUAGUUACUCCCUCCUUUGGGUGUACAUGAUUUGCUUGUCACUCAAAACACUUGUUAUGGCACACUUACUGGUGAGAAAUCCAUAUGCCUGAUGCCUGAAGUAAAAAAAUGUACGAAUUUUAGUUCUUUUUUCAUUGUUUCAAAGUUUCAGCCUGACCAGUGACAUGUCUAUGUUUUUUACAGUGUUGCAUGAUGUGCUAUAAGGCAAGGCAGAUGAUCUUCUUUUCUCCAUUGUCCAACAUUGAAGCUUUUCUUGCCCAUCAGCACACAUCUCAUUUAGGUUCAUUUCCUAUAUACUAGUUAGAAACUGCUUCAUACUUGCUCUAGGUGUACUUUGAUUAGUGUAAUCUCCUUGCCCCAUCAUCGACAAGGUUAUAUGAUUACGAGAGCUUAAUAAAUUCUGUGAUACGUGUUCAUUUAUUAACUAAAUCAUCAGCUUGCUCAAUAAUACUUUUAGGUACCCUAGUGUGCUUAUGGCUGAUGAAAUACGCUUUGUUUAAUAGGAUUGGAGACAUUUCUGAUGCUUCGGUGAAAACACCAGACCUAUUGUAAACUCAGUCCAGUAAUACAAGUUAGCAUUUUGUCUUAAUCAUUCUUGGAACUAAAAAGGAAACCUUCUUCUUGUUUGUUCUACACCACUAAUCUGUUUAGCCAUCCUUGAGAAAGGCUCGAUGGUUAGACAUGAAAACUUUAUUUGUUUUCUCCUUUUGCUUCUCUGGUUUAUUUUAAAUUUAAUCUAGGUUUGGCUGUUUGCAAUUGAAAAAAAUGUUCUUCAGGGCUUCCUGCAAAUGUUGUUAGGUACUGUACAACCAGAAAUUUAGAAGGGAAUCACAUUAUUGAAAAGGGUUGACAGGAAUGGAGCAUCACUGCUUAGCACGUCUACAGAAAAAGUGGGCUUCGUAUGUACAAUUGUGCAUAUAGCUUAGGUGAACGAUUUCUGAUUUGCCGAACUCUCUUUAUUGUUAAGAUAAGGGGAAUAACUAUAUAAUGCUAACAUUUCCAUUACUCCUAUAACUAUUGAAUCUAAUUAGAUCUGUUUUUAUUCUCGUGUUUGCCUCCUAUGAAAAAUGAGGUUGGGUACUAGUGUGUAAAUAGGUAGAGUGAUAAAAAGUGAUUGCUUCCUUGUGGAUCUGUUUUUACAUUGUAAAAAUUUAUUUUUAUUCUCAUGAAUAUUGUAGUAUUUUGUGUGUAUAAUAAAAAGUGAUUGCUUCCUUGUGGAUCACGUGCUAAUGUACCCCUUUAUACCAUUUUUAUUUAUCUUUAGACUAAUUUAACAUGUCUUAUCUUUCUAUAAAUAUAAAGUUUAUUUGCAGAUGAUAAGUCUUGUGAUUGUGCGCCUUCAGCUCCUUUUAUAUGCCUUCAAGUACCUGGCACACAGUUAUUAUGAGCCAAUGAUAAUUGAACUCCACACUGCUUUUGUUCCACUUGGCCUUCGUUUCACUCUUGCGCCAGCGGCGCAAUGGGUGGAAUCUAGUGUACAAAAGAGUGAACAUGUAAUUUGUCUUCCUGGACAUGGCUGUAGCCAUGCGCUGUGCAUAGCCAUUUGUGUAGCUCAGUUUGAAGAUACAAAAUAUUGUUUUCUUAUGUAAAUUUUGUGUACCAUUGUAGCUGAAUGCUACUGAACACAUGUAUGGAUGUGGAAGUACAAAAUUAUCAGUCUAUGAAUGUUUCUAAACUUUAAGGUUU